UACCGGCUGCUCGAGUGAUAGCCACUUUUACUGGGCUUAAAGCGUUCGUAGCUUGGUCGUUAAGUCUCUGGGGAAAUCUUUUGGCUCAACCAAAAGGCGUCUCAGGGAAACUGGAUAGCUUGAGUACGGGAGAGGGUAGUGGAAUUUCGAGUGUAGGGGUGAAAUCCGUAGAUAUUCGAAGGAACACCGGUGGCGAAGGCGGCCACCUGGACAGGUACUGACGCUGAGGUGCGAAAGUGUGGGGAGCAAA
RNAcentral lists this ribosomal RNA (250 nucleotides) under uncultured archaeon. Its description in RNAcentral is "partial 16S ribosomal RNA". It matches the Rfam family "Bacterial small subunit ribosomal RNA", at positions 524 to 772 of the family's 1533-position model. The record is from RNAcentral.